This is a long non-coding RNA of Mauremys mutica (yellowpond turtle), 1233 nucleotides long. RefSeq lists it as uncharacterized. The record is from RefSeq and is a predicted model, not a curated record. Lineage: Eukaryota; Metazoa; Chordata; Testudines; Geoemydidae. The transcript is spliced from 3 exons.
GCUGCGGCCCCCCCUUGCCGCCGCCGCCUCGCGGCGGCUCCUGGCCGCCCUCCUCUUCCUCCUCCUCGUCCAGGGCCCCGGGGCAGGCGGCGGCCCCCCCUCCUCCGGGGAAGGGGGAGAGGGCGUCCCCCGGCGGGGCCAGGAGGCUGCUCGGCCCGGGAGGUACCUCGGCCAUGUCCUAGAAGAGAGACCGACACAGACCCAGAGAGAAGGAGAACGCAUAUCUUUCCAGAGAGGAUGUAUGAAUUUAGGAACUCUAGCCUGCAUUAUACCUAAUAUCUGGACCCCAGAGCCAACCCUGAAUGUCCAGUAUGGACAAUGGGCACUAAGGAGUGGGAAAGGAAGGACUGGAGGAAAGGAUUUUUAAGGUACUGCCAUUGCAGGUCAGAGUUGAGGCAUAUUGGAGAAGUAUUGUGGGGAACCAUGCACUGCUUCUGCGCAGAGAAAUGCAGAGCCUGAUUUUCAAUUACGCUAAUGACUUCUUACACCAUUCUGGCACCAUGAAAGGGUCAUAAAGUGGAUGGAAAUGGCCCCCUGAGAAUACCCUCUGCACAGAGAGCCCUCCCUGACUGCUGAAGACCUGGCAUAAGGCCUUUAUGCCAGUCCUUAAUGUUGGCAUUCUUCCACCUUCUGUAAAAAAGUAAAGUUCAUUUGCUCCUGCUGCUGAUUGGCUGUGCUGUGUGACCAGCUAACCAAGUCUUGAUUAUGCCCUCAGUGCAGUUAUUUUUACAUUGUGGCUUAAUUAGAGUCUUUCCACCUCACUGCUGGCAUUCUUCCACCUUCUGCCAAAAGUAAUCCCCUCUUCCCGCCCCCCCAAAAAGCAGACGUGCUAACAGUAUUCAAAUUCUGAUGGCUGAAACAGAAUGGAGCAUGUGUUUUUUCUUAUUACAGAUGGGAACACUGUUAUUUUGAGUGUACUUCCAAACAAAACUCACACUGGGGAAAAAAGGCCCAGCACAGUAUACAAAGCAGACUGGCGGAUUUGUGAGUAGGUCAGGGGAAGAGAUCUCUCUGUUCCUCAGAAGAGGAGUGAGCCACCAGUGGCCUCAUUUCACCUCACCAUCACACUGUCUUCUGAAGUGGAGAUUGGGCUAAAAGUAGCCUUCUCUAUUCAACAGUAGCCUCUUUGCCUUCCUACCUCUUUUUUUUCAAUAGCUAUGAACACCAAAGAGUCUUUAUAACAGUGGCAUUAAAUAAUAAUAAAUAAUACCAAGCCUGCUGUCAACAGGCCCC